GGUGUUGAUAGCUAUGAGGCUCCACCUGUUCCCAUUCCGAACACAGAAGUUAAGCUCAUAAACGUCGAAAAUACUUGGUUGGUGACGACCCGGAAAGAU
RNAcentral lists this ribosomal RNA (99 nucleotides) under human gut metagenome. The record is from RNAcentral.